GAUGAACGCUGGCGGCGUGCCUAAUACAUGCAAGUCGAGCGAACAGACGAGGAGCUUGCUCCUCUGACGUUAGCGGCGGACGGGUGAGUAACACGUGGAUAACCUACCUAUAAGACUGGGAUAACUUCGGGAAACCGGAGCUAAUACCGGAUAAUAUAUUGAACCGCAUGGUUCAAUAAUGAAAGACGGUUUUGCUGUCACUUAUAGAUGGUUCCGCGCCGCAUUAGCUAGUUGGUAAGGUAACGGCUUACCAAGGCAACGAUGCGUAGCCGACCUGAGAGGGUGAUCGGCCACACUGGAACUGAGACACGGUCCAGACUCCUACGGGAGGCAGCAGUAGGGAAUCUUCCGCAAUGGGCGAAAGCCUGACGGAGCAACGCCGCGUGAGUGAUGAAGGUCUUCGGAUCGUAAAACUCUGUUAUUAGGGAAGAACAAAUGUGUAAGUAACUAUGCACGUCUUGACGGUACCUAAUCAGAAAGCCACGGCUAACUACGUG
RNAcentral lists this ribosomal RNA (497 nucleotides) under uncultured bacterium. Its description in RNAcentral is "partial 16S ribosomal RNA". It matches the Rfam family "Bacterial small subunit ribosomal RNA", at positions 28 to 507 of the family's 1533-position model. The record is from RNAcentral.